CCGCCGCGCGCGGCCUACGGGAGGCAGCAGUGGGGAAUAUUGCACAAUGGGCGCAAGCCUGAUGCAGCCAUGCCGCGUGUAUGAAGAAGGCCUUCGGGUGUAAAGUACUUUCAGCGAGGAGGAAGGCGUUAAGGUUAAUAACCUUGGUGAUUGACGUUACUCGCAGAAGAAGCACCGGCUAACUCCGUGCCAGCAGCCGCGGUAAUA
RNAcentral lists this ribosomal RNA (207 nucleotides) under uncultured bacterium. RNAcentral's name for it is "partial 16S ribosomal RNA". It matches the Rfam family "Bacterial small subunit ribosomal RNA", at positions 326 to 525 of the family's 1533-position model. The record is from RNAcentral.